UGUCAUGGCGUUAAGUACCUGCUAAAACAGAAGAAAGAAGAUGGAAAGAAGAAUGAAAGAAAAAAAUAGAAGAAUGAAAUAUGCAAUGGGGUUGGUGAUCGAAAAUUUAGAAUACAUCCCACUCCUAUUUGCAGUUAUGUCAUCGGUGACGUAGGAUGGACCCAGCCUCCGCGUCUGGUAUUGAUUUCGUGACGUCACUAACACACAGAUAGAUAUUCUACACGUAACAAAAGCAAACAUCUUGCAUGAUUAUUCUCUGUUUCUUGCUAUUAGCAGAAAAAAAUAAUUUACAUAGUAAUAACAAGAUUAAUACAUAGUAAAUUCUACAAGAGGUAAAUAUAGUUACUUGUACAUAGG
Molecule: long non-coding RNA, 357 nt
Organism: Polistes dominula (European paper wasp)
Lineage: Eukaryota; Metazoa; Arthropoda; Insecta; Hymenoptera; Vespidae
Source: RefSeq, a predicted model, not a curated record